ACUCCUACGGGAGGCAGCAGUGGGGAAUCUUGCGCAAUGGGCGAAAGCCUGACGCAGCCAUGCCGCGUGAAUGAUGAAGGUCUUGGGAUUGUAAAAAUUCUUUCACCGGGGACGAUAAUGACGGUACCCGGAGAAGAAGCCCCGGCUAACUUCGUGCCAGCAGCCGCGGUAAUACGAAGGGGGCUAGCGUUGCUCGGAAUUACUGGGGCGUAAAGGGAGCGUAGGCGGACUGUUUAGUCAGAGGUGAAAGCCCAGGGGCUCAACCUUGGAAUUGCCUUUGAUACUGGCAGUCUUGAGUACGGAAGAGGUAUGUGGAACUCCGAGUGUAGAGGUGAAAUUCGUAGAUAUUCGGAAGAACACCAGUGGCGAAGGCGACAUACUGGUCCGUUACUGACGCUGAGGCUCGAAAGCGUGGGGAGCAAACAGGAUUAGAUACCCUGGUAGCACAGAG
Molecule: ribosomal RNA, 451 nt
Filed under: uncultured bacterium
Lineage: Bacteria
Description: bacterial SSU rRNA
Rfam family: Bacterial small subunit ribosomal RNA
Source: RNAcentral